CCUGUAAGUGCCAGCCUACUCCCACCCUUAGACUCAGGCAGGAGGGCCCCUGUGCUGGACCCUCACAGGAGAGGGUGCCCACUAGCCCCACUCUGGCUGCUCCUGCCCACGGGCCAAGGAAUUUCCUGCCCUAGCAGCCCAGGGCCAGCUGCCUGGGCCUGCGUGGGCCUCUUCACCAGGCCCCCAAGCCCCAGGAUGUGGGAAGGAAGAGAGUGUGGUAUUUUUCAAGGGGCAUAGGCAGCAUUUGCACCCUGUGCUGCGAAUCUACACCCCUGACUCAGGACCUUUCUGGCUGGGAAUGGAAUAGAGGAUGGGAUGGGAAGAGAAUAGGUGUGGCUGGGUAUCCCCACACCACCAUGUUCCCAAACCAGAUUCUAUCUGGUCUUCUAGGACACGAUAAAGAUGCAUGUGUUAAGACAAGAAGGUAGAACAUAUUUUCUUUAACAGUUUCUCAGUUUGAUUGGUAACUUUUCAUAUUUAAACAGAUGCUAUGGGGGCUGCCAUUUGUACUCUCGUCUCAGAUCUCAAGAAGCACAGGCGACCUGCCACAUCCAAUGCUUGCCUUCUGCAGUGCUCUGCAAAUGCUAGAUGUGGAGUUUGAGGACCCAUCAUUUUACCAAAGAAGUUUUCCACCAAAAUAGAAUGAAGGGCUUUUCCCAAUUUGCUAAACAAAAUUAAUAGAUAGAACUUUCUGAAUUUUUAAUCUUUUUGAGAAAUUAUUUUCUUAGAGACAGGAUCUUGCUCUGUCACCCAGGAUGGAGUGCAGUGGUGCCAUCAUAGCUCACCUAAGCCUCAAACUCCCAGAUUCAAGCAAUUCUCCUUCCUUAGCCUCCCGAGUAGCUGGGACUACAGGCUCGCAUCACCAUACCCGGCUAAUUUUUUUCAUUUUUUAAAUAGACGGGGUCUCACUAUAUUGCUCAGGCUAGUCUCAAAUUCCUGGACUCCAGACAUCUUCCCACUUUGGCCUCCCAAAGUGUUGCCAUUACAGGCAUGAACCACUGUGCCCGACCCUGAUUUUAUAAUUUUGACUCAAUUUUCUUUUUCUAGAAUGUUUAGUGCCAGCUACUGCUUACCUGCUAGCAGUUGUAAGCAAAUAAAAUAAACAAAAUGUAUUAGUCCUUUCUCAUACUGCUAUAAA
Molecule: long non-coding RNA, 1138 nt
Filed under: Macaca fascicularis (crab-eating macaque)
Lineage: Eukaryota; Metazoa; Chordata; Mammalia; Primates; Cercopithecidae
Description: lncRNA (ENSMFAG00000051261.1)
Source: RNAcentral